UACGAGGGGGGCUAGCGUUGCUCGGAAUCACUGGGCGUAAAGCGCACGUAGGCGGUCUUUUAAGUCAGGGGUGAAAUCCUGGAGCUCAACUCCAGAACUGCCUUUGAUACUGAGAGACUUGAGUCCGGGAGAGGUGAGUGGAACUGCGAGUGUAGAGGUGAAAUUCGUAGAUAUUCGCAAGAACACCAGUGGCGAAGGCGGCUCACUGGCCCGGUACUGACGCUGAGGUGCGAAAGCGUGGGGAGCAAACAGG
Molecule: ribosomal RNA, 253 nt
Filed under: uncultured bacterium
Lineage: Bacteria
Description: partial 16S ribosomal RNA
Rfam family: Bacterial small subunit ribosomal RNA
Source: RNAcentral